This 493-nucleotide ribosomal RNA is filed under the name Cyanistes ultramarinus cyrenaicae. Its description in RNAcentral is "partial 16S ribosomal RNA". It matches the Rfam family "Bacterial large subunit ribosomal RNA", at positions 440 to 988 of the family's 2925-position model. Lineage: Eukaryota; Metazoa; Chordata; Aves; Passeriformes; Paridae. The record is from RNAcentral.
UUACGCCUGAAAGAUAUCUGCUCAACCCAGAUCGUCUUGAUGCCAAACUCUAGCCCAACCUACAUUGACCCGGAAUAACAAAGUCACUCCCCACCCUAAACUAAAGCAUUUACUAGUCCCAGUAUAGGCGAUAGAAAAGACCACAUGGCGCGAUAGAGAGCACGUACCGUAAGGRAAAGAUGAAAUAAUAGUGAAAUAAUCUAAGCUAAAAACAGCAAAGAUCAACCCUUGUACCUUUUGCAUAAUGGUCUAGCAAGAAAAACCAAGCAAAAUGAAUUUAAGUUUGCCAUCCCGAAACCCAAGCGAGCUACUUGCGAGCAGCUAAUAUUGAGCGAACCCGUCUCUGUUGCAAAAGAGUGGGACGACUUGCUAGUAGAGGUGAAAAGCCAAUCGAGCUGGGUGAUAGCUGGUUGCCUGUGAAACGAAUCUUAGUUCACUCUUAAUUCUUCUCCAAGGAAACCCACAAACCCCAAUGAAGCGAAUUAAGGGCUAU